UUUCCGUUGAUAGUUUGUAUAAAAAUGUUUCUCUGGAUAUGGAAAUUAGUAUCCAGUAUUCGUCAACCCGUGCUUGGCCGAUUUUCUAAUAUUUUAUUUCUAUCUGCAUUAUGGAAAAAUUGUGCUUUCUGAUAUGAAGAACUAUAAUUGAGGUGUGUGCGAAGCAUAUACGUAUAUGCACAUUGAUAUUGGAAAAAUAAAGUAUAAAUAUAAUUCACUCAAAAUCAUCAUCUAUUAAGUUUUCAGAUAACAAAGUGUCACAUUAUAUUGGACAAAGUUCAUUACAUGAAGAUCCAAUUAUCCAUGAAGACUUUCCCUAAGAUUAUGUUUGUUGGUCUCAUUUGGGUAGGAUGUAGAGCCACCAAAUACAUUGCUUAUUUUCUUAUACAUAGGUCUGACCUUUUAUGUGGGUGACCAUUUACAAUAUGUUUAAAGAGCACAAAAUUUGGUUACUGGAGCAAUUUGAUCUCCAUUUCCAUAAAUAUUUGUUAUCUAUGCUGGUAUAACCUGAAUGAAAUAUUCUAGUGCUCGCUCAAAAUGUAGCUACUGGUUGGGAGAGGAAGGUGCAACUACGUAAUUAAGGUUACGUAUUGAUGUGGUUGUAAUUAGUUAGGAUAGGAUUAGCGUCUACCUUUCCUUAUAGUUGAAUUCAGGGUGGCGUUGGGGAGAAUUUAAUAAGGUUGCGUAAGUCGUUUACGUAGAUUUACCUAGUUGUAGCAUUUUCACUUUCAAGUGCAAAAAAUGCAUCAUAGUUGUUCUGGGAAUGCUUCUAUCGAGUCAAGAGAAAAUAGUGGUAUUUAGAAAUAUCAGACUAAGUAACCAUACAACAUGAUACCAGUAAUAGGAAUAAUUAUGUGCUACCAUAAUGAAACGGAAUCGAGGUCGAGUAUAGUCUGCUGCAGGUUUUACUUUUCCAACAGGGACAGGAAAAGGCCGUAUGUAGAGCUGUAGAUAGAUUGAGAUGAGCGUUUUCCCUUUUAUUUUUCCAAUCGUCAAAUAGACAUGGAGUUGUAGAUGGAUUGAUAUUGAGAUGUGAGUUUUUUUCCAUUUUAUUAUUUCAUACGUGAAAGAGAUGUGGAGUUGUAGAUAGGUUGAGAUUGAGAUGUGAGUUAUAGUGCAGGCAACUUUUCGUCAUGUCGUAUUGCGUAUAAUUUUUUGUCAUGUCUAAAGCACAUUUAGUAGUUAUAGUGCAGGCAACUUUUUAUUUGACCCAACCAAAUUUAAAUUUCAAUGGAAGUAGAUCCAAUUGAUAUCAAUGCACUGCCGACCAUUGUUAAAAUCAUGCUCCCACCGAGGACCGGCUGCCAUAAGUUUGCACCUUUACACACCUACCGUCUCCGUCCAUGUUAUGAGCAUUAGGGCCUCCAUUUAGGAGAAUGAGUUCUCCAUCUCAAUAGUCAUCUCAAAAGCUAAUUUACUAGCAUGUUUUUGCAUAAUAAGAUGACGUGCAAAUCAUGUACAAAUUACUAGUAACACCAGUGUGUACGUAAGCCUUUCCCUUCAAAAUAUAGUUUAUUAGUAUGCUCCCUCAAACAUGAGGUUGGCCUACGAGGUAGCAAUUUUUUUAUAUUAUGGCCUGGUAAUAAAUAAUUUAUUAUCAUAUUCGAUUUAAUUAAUCUUGCCAGAUGUAUUAUAUGUGAUUGCUUAGCGUCAUCUUAUGUUAUAUUUUGUGCAUUCAAAUGAUUUUGUGUCUUAUCAACAUUUUGCAAGUACCAGUAUAGAUGAUCAUGAGUGGAUGUACACUGGCCACCCUAGUCAGGCUGGCAUGACCACUGAGUGGGUGGACAAGACCAAUGAAUUCGUAGAGGCAACAUUUUCUAGUGGCAAGAGAAAAACUUGGUGUCCCUGUUUCGAUUGCGAAAACCAUAGAGAACAGUCAAAGAACACGAUGUGUUUACAUGCAGAAGUAUGGGCUUAAGUUUGGGUAUACCCCGUGAACCUUUCAUGGCGAGAUUGAACGUAGCAGAGAGGAGGCGGUGCAUCGGCGCGCCGACGAUAAUGGUACCGGGAUCCAUGACAAUGUAGCUGACUUCAAUGAUGCACGUGAUGUGGGAUCGGAGGAAGAACCAGAAGAGUCUGUGAGGGUAUUCUUAGAAUUGCUGAAUUCGUCACAACAACCUCUUCACGACUAGUCACAUCUGUGCCAGCUGGAUGCCAUUGGACAAGCAAUGUCUUUGAAGACCCAGUCCAACAUGAGCAGAGAUAACUUUAAUUCAAUGAUGACCUCUUGGAGUCGCUCUCUCCUUAAAGGUCACAAACUGCCUAAAAGUUGGUACAAAGUGAAGAAACCCUACGUGCACUUAAGAUGUCGUAUGAGCAGAUACACGCUUUGCCCAAACGGAUGUUUAUUAUUUACAGAAGAGUAUGCAGGCGACAAGUACUAUGGCAAGUGCGGCUCGUGUAGUUAUAUCGAGAGAGUCCCUAGUGAUGGUACGAAGAAGCAUGCCAAAUUCCAUGCAAAUGUUCUUUGGUAUCUUCCAAUCCCUCCAAGAAUUCAACGACUUUACUUGAAUGAAGAUACAACUGAACAUAUGGUAUGGCACAAAUAUGGGAUAAGACGUGACAAUGAUGAUCAUGGGAGACCAAUGUUGACACAUCCGUCUUGUGCCCUAGCAUGGCAGAAUUUUGAUCGAUUACAUCCUGAGAAAGCAAAAGUGGCAAGGAAUGGACGAGUCUCCAUCUGACUUGAUGGGUUCAAUCCGUUUGGUUUUGUCUCAAAGAUAUAUAGCUGUUGGCAUGUGUUUGUUUUCCCCUCAACCACCCCAGAUGUCCUAAUGCAAAGCAUGCACAUAUUCCUAUCGCUGAUAAUUCCACGGCUCAAGUAUCCGAGGAAGAAUACAAAUGUGUACCUGCAGCCGCUGAUAGAUGACUUGAAAUAAGCUUGGGUGAAUGGGAUACAGACAUACGAUGCUGCUAGCAAGAAAAUUUUCAGAAUGCAUGUUUGGUACAAGCACUCAAUGCAUGACCUAUUAGCGUUCUCACUUUUCAUGGGGUGGUAUGUGCAUGGGAGGUUCCCAUGCCCCAGAUGCAAGGCAAAACUUCAGUGUCGUUGGUUGCAAACAUGGUCGCACGUAUUCUUGCUUAGAUUCCCACAAACAACAUUUAUCGCCUGACCAUCCAUUCAGACAAGACAUGAAGAACUUCAUGAAAGGUGAAGUUGUCCAACACUCGGCACCACCUGAGAUGACAUGUGAAUAGAUUUGUGAUCAACUAAACGCUCUCCAGCCUGAUCACAACCGACCAGGAUAUUUCUUGGGAUAUAAUGUAGAACACGCAUGGACUCAUAAGCCAUGCUUCUGGGAUCUCCCCUACUUCCACCAGCUCGAGCUUCCACAUAACAUUGAUGUAAUGCACACUGAAAAGAUUAUCGCCGAGGACAUUUUUGCACAUUGUUGAACAUUACUGAGAAGAUAAAGGACAAUACUAAGGCUAGACUAGAUCUAAUGAGGCUAUGUGAUAGACCCAAACAAAACUUGCGGCAACCCAAAGACCGGAAAAAUUGGACAACGCCACGGUCUAGGUUUGUUCUUACAAGGUAACAACAGAAGGAGAUACUCAUGUGGUUCAAAACUUUGUUGUUCCCCGAUGGGUAUACAGCGAAUCUAAUGAGGGCAAUGAAUCUUGAUAAAUUGAAGCUCAAUGGGAUGAAGAAUCAUGAUUGGCACAUAUGGCUUAAGCGGUUAAUGUCAGUGAUGAUUCGAGGCUAUAUCCCUGAAUGAUUGGGAAGUAUUGGAAGAGCUUAGCUAUUUCUUCUGUGUUUAUUGUGCUAAAGAAGUAUCUCCUACUAUGAAUGGUGACAUGAAAAAACGGGCAUCUGAGUUACUCUACAAGCUAGAGAAGAUAUUUCCACCAGGCUUCUUUAAUCCGAUGGAACAUAUGCUUUUACAUCUCCCAUAUGAGGCAAGAUUGGGUGGCCGUGUGCAGAAUCGUUGGUGCUUUGGAGUUGAGAGAAUGCAAAAGACUCUUCGAGCUAAAUGCAAAAAUAAAUGUAGAAUUGAAGCAUCCAUAGCCGAGGUAUUCUUGGCUGAAGAGGUGACAAACUUCACGACAUCAUGCUAUGCGGCCAACAUUCCAAGCUUACAUAAUGCGAAGUCUCGUUACAAUGUCGGCGACCGCAAACAUGAGUCGAAGCUCAGCCUCUUCAAAGGGCAACGCGGACCUAUGGGUGCUUCUGGUUCAAAGAAUUUGUCUCUGAAAGAGUGGGGCUCGCUUAUGUUGUAUAUCCUCACCAACCUAAAAGAAGUGCAGCCAUACAUUGAGGGUCGAGCAUGUUUCACUCGAAGAGUAUGAGCAUCUUGCUGGCAAUGGAGACGGCAAUUAUUGUUUCAUUUCUUGGUUUAGAGAAAAGGUAUCCAAAAAUCUUCUAUAUAUCAACGCAAGACUCCACUAGUGGUUGAGAUAGAGUCCCGAUUGGAGGAGGAGAAUAGAUGAGAGGUUGGAGGCAAGGUUGGCAGAGGAGAGGAGACUCGUGGAGGAGAAGAGGGUGGAGGAGAGGCGAUAGGCUGAUGCGAGUAUGGAGCAGGCAUUGGCUGCACAAACUAGGCAAUAUUUUGAGAUGUUUCAGGCCAUGGAUCGAAUAUGGAUGUCUCUUCACAUGCACCAGGCCCAAGUGGCAAUAAGCUUGGUGGUUCUCCUUAUCUUUGAGAUCGACUAAGGUUCCCACCUGGAUGUUCAUUGGACUACGGUAUGGACAUGAAGACACUUGAUGUAGUGGCAAAUCUUACAUAGGAUGCUUGCUUUGUUCAUUGUGUAUCAUCUUUGUUAUGUAACUAUGCUAUAUAUGCAUAUUUCUUAUGGAACUAUGCAAUGGAUAUAUGUUAUGGAACUAUGUUAUGGAUAUGUGUUAUGAAACUAUGCUAUAUAUAUACGGAUCUUUGUUCAUUGUGUA
This is a long non-coding RNA of Hordeum vulgare subsp. vulgare (domesticated barley), 4888 nucleotides long. RefSeq lists it as uncharacterized. The transcript has 6 exons. The record is from RefSeq and is a predicted model, not a curated record. NCBI's taxonomy places the organism in Eukaryota, Viridiplantae, Streptophyta, Magnoliopsida, Poales, Poaceae.